RNAcentral lists this ribosomal RNA (492 nucleotides) under uncultured bacterium. RNAcentral describes it as "partial 16S ribosomal RNA". It matches the Rfam family "Bacterial small subunit ribosomal RNA", at positions 29 to 507 of the family's 1533-position model. The record is from RNAcentral.
AGUGAACGCUGGCGGUAGGCCUAACACAUGCAAGUCGAACGGCAGCACAGUAUGAGCUUGCUCUUACGGGUGGCGAGUGGUGGACGGGUGAGGAAUACAUCGGAAUCUACUUUUUCGUGGGGGAUAACGUAGGGAAACUUACGCUAAUACCGCAUACGACCUACGGGUGAAAGCAGGGGAUCUUCGGACCUUGCGCGAUUGAAUGAGCCGAUGUCGGAUUAGCUAGUUGGCGGGGUAAAGGCCCACCAAGGCGACGAUCCGUAGCUGGUCUGAGAGGAUGAUCAGCCACACUGGAACUGAGACACGGUCCAGACUCCUACGGGAGGCAGCAGUGGGGAAUAUUGGACAAUGGGCGCAAGCCUGAUCCAGCCAUACCGCGUGGGUGAAGAAGGCCUUCGGGUUGUAAAGCCCUUUUGUUGGGAAAGAAAAGCAGCAGGUUAAUACCCCGCUGUUCUGACGGUACCCAAAGAAUAAGCACCGGCUAACUUCGUG